GCUUUGUGCGAUGGGGCAAUAAAAUCCGCACAUAUAUCGACACAUUUCUCUGGGUGCCCUUUGGGGUGGAGAAUGCGGAUAUAUGGAGGCCUAACC
This 96-nucleotide small RNA is filed under the name Acinetobacter kookii. RNAcentral's name for it is "t44 RNA". It matches the Rfam family "t44 RNA". Rfam says of the family: This family consists of a number of bacterial RNA genes of between 135 and 170 bases in length. The t44 gene is found between the map and rpsB genes in all species in the full alignment apart from Shigella flexneri. The function of this RNA is unknown. The record is from RNAcentral. Lineage: Bacteria; Pseudomonadati; Pseudomonadota; Gammaproteobacteria; Moraxellales; Moraxellaceae.